AGUGGAUGGGGAGCAACCUAGUUGUGAGUGCGGAAAGGUAGUGCCAAGAAAAGCUGUCAGAAUGAUGAGAAUUGAGUCCCGGUACCCGAGACCGACACAGGUAGGCAAGUAGAGAAUACUAAGGGGCGCGAGGUAACUCUCUCCAAGGAACUCGGCAAAAUGACCCCGUAACUUAGGGAGAAGGGGUGCCACCGAGAGGUGGUCGCAGUGAAGAGGCCCAGGCGACUGUUUAGCAAAAACAUAGGUCUCUGCAAACUCGAAAGAGGAAGUAUAGGGGCUGACGCCUGCCCAGUGCCGGAAGGUUAAAGAAGUUGGUCAGGAGAAAUCUGAAGCUGGCGACUGAAGCCCCGGUGAACGGCGGCCGUAACUAUAACGGUCCUAAGGUAGCGAAAUUCCUUGUCGGGUAAGUUCCGACCCGCACGAAAGGCGUAACGAUCUGGGCGCUGUCUCGGAGAGAGGCUCGGCGAAAUAGGAUUGUCUGUGAAGAUACGGACUACCUGCAUUUGGACAGAAAGACCCUAUGAAGCUUUACUGUAGCUUGAAAUUGUGUUCGGGCUUCCUGUGGGCAGGAUAGGUGGGAGGCUAGGAAGGUCUGCUUGUGGGCAGAUUGGAGCCAACCGUGAGAUACCACUCUCAGGAGGCUAGAAUUCUAACUUAAUUAAGGACAGUUUCAGGUGGGCAGUUUGACUGGGGCGGUCGCCUCCAAAAAGGUAACGGAGGCGUACAAAGGUUCCCUCACACUGGUUGGAAAUCAGUGGCAGAGUGCAAAGGCAGAAGGGAGCUUGACUGCGAGACGGACAAGUCGAGCAGGGUGGAAACACGGUCUUAGUGAUCCGACGGUGCUGUGUGGAAGGGCCGUCGCUCAACGGAUAAAAGUUACUCUAGGAUAACAGGCUGAUCUCCCCCAAGAGUUCACAUCGACGGGGAGGUUUGGCACCUCGAUGUCGGCUCAUCGCAACCUGGGGCGGAAGUACGUCCCAAGGGUUGGGCUGUUCGCCCAUUAAAGCGGUACGUGAGCUGGGUUCAGAACGUCGUGAGACAGUUCGGUCCAUAUCCGAUGUAGGCGUGAGAAUAUUGAGAGGAGCCUUCCUUAGUACGAGAGGACCGGGAAGGACGCACCGCUGGUGUACCUGUUAUGAUGCCAAUCGUAAACGCAGGGUAGCCAAGUGCGGAGAGGAUAACCGCUGAAAGCAUCUAAGUGGGAAGCCCACCUCAAGAUGAGUAUUCUGGUGUAAGGUCACGGGGAGACGACCCGUAGAUAGGCACGAGGUGGAAGUGCAGAGAUGUAUGAAGCCGAAGUGUACUAAUAGACCGUCGGCUUGACC
Molecule: ribosomal RNA, 1325 nt
Filed under: metagenome
Description: bacterial LSU rRNA
Rfam family: Bacterial large subunit ribosomal RNA
Source: RNAcentral